This 88-nucleotide transfer RNA is filed under the name Operophtera brumata (winter moth). It matches the Rfam family "tRNA". Rfam says of the family: Transfer RNA (tRNA) molecules are approximately 80 nucleotides in length. Their secondary structure includes four short double-helical elements and three loops (D, anti-codon, and T loops). Further hydrogen bonds mediate the characteristic L-shaped molecular structure. tRNAs have two regions of fundamental functional importance: the anti-codon, which is responsible for specific mRNA codon recognition, and the 3' end, to which the tRNAs corresponding amino acid is attached (by aminoacyl-tRNA synthetases). tRNAs cope with the degeneracy of the genetic code in two manners: having more than one tRNA (with a specific anti-codon) for a particular amino acid; and 'wobble' base-pairing, i.e. permitting non-standard base-pairing at the 3rd anti-codon position. The record is from Rfam by way of RNAcentral. Lineage: Eukaryota; Metazoa; Arthropoda; Insecta; Lepidoptera; Geometridae.
CCUUCGAUAGCUCAGUUGGUAGAGCGGUGGACUGUAGUUGGAAUAUGCUGGUAUCCAUAGGUCACUGGUUCAAAUCCGGUUCGAAGGA